This 202-nucleotide unclassified non-coding RNA is filed under the name Hevea brasiliensis (rubber tree). The record is from RNAcentral. Lineage: Eukaryota; Viridiplantae; Streptophyta; Magnoliopsida; Malpighiales; Euphorbiaceae.
CUUUUUUUUUUUUUAAUUUUUUUUGAAAAAAAGCAUUUGGAUCAAGUUAAUCAUCUAGGGUCGGAGAUUGAUUUUCCUUGUAUUCCAUUAUUUAAGCACAGUGAGUACAGUAAUUGAAAAUGUCUUUUCACUGUUGCAUUAUUAUUAUUAUUAAAUAGUAUUGUCAGGGCGGUACAGUACUGAAACAUUUAAAGAAUUACGU